This 510-nucleotide ribosomal RNA is filed under the name uncultured bacterium. RNAcentral's name for it is "bacterial SSU rRNA". It matches the Rfam family "Bacterial small subunit ribosomal RNA", at positions 15 to 507 of the family's 1533-position model. The record is from RNAcentral.
GAUCCUGGCUCAGGAUGAACGCUAGCUACAGGCUUAACACAUGCAAGUCGAGGGGCAGCAUGAAUUUACUUCGGUAAAUUUGAUGGCGACCGGCGCACGGGUGCGUAACGCGUAUCCAACCUUCCCGUUACUCCGGGAUAGCCUUCCGAAAGGGGUGCUAAUACCGAAUGACGUUUCCUAGUCGCAUGACCUGGAAACCAAAGGCCGGGCAACCGGUCACUGAAGGAUGGGCCUGCGUCUGAUUAGCUAGUUGGUGAGGUAACGGCUCACCAAGGCGACGAUCAGUAGGGGUUCUGAGAGGAAGGUCCCCCACAUUGGAACUGAGACACGGUCCAAACUCCUACGGGAGGCAGCAGUGAGGAAUAUUGGUCAAUGGACGGAAGUCUGAACCAGCCAAGUCGCGUGAAGGAUGAAGGUUCUAUGGAUUGUAAACUUCUUUUGUCUGAGGGUAAAAAGCGGACGUGUCCGUUCUUGCAAGUAUCAGACGAAUAAGCAUCGGCUAACUCCGUG